GUGGCUAUAAUUUAGACAAAAUAUAAGAUUGUGAUUCUUACAACAAAGGUUAAAACCCUUUUAGCCACA
This is a non-coding RNA of Nothobranchius furzeri (turquoise killifish), 69 nucleotides long. NCBI's taxonomy places the organism in Eukaryota, Metazoa, Chordata, Actinopteri, Cyprinodontiformes, Nothobranchiidae. The record is from Ensembl.